Molecule: unclassified non-coding RNA, 226 nt
Filed under: Hevea brasiliensis (rubber tree)
Lineage: Eukaryota; Viridiplantae; Streptophyta; Magnoliopsida; Malpighiales; Euphorbiaceae
Source: RNAcentral
GGAUGUCUACGUGCAACAAUUGGCCGUUCAAUAGGGUCUUCAUAGGCUGCACCAUCCCUUGGCCUUCUGUUGUCCACCCGAUCCCUGUUGCCAUUGAUUUCUAAAGCAACAAGGCAAUUUGCAAUUUUUUCGAGACGUCUUUCUAUAUGCCUUAACUUGUGGUUCACUCGUUGCUCUAGUAAGUGCUUCAAAUGCUGCAACACAUCGUCCCUUGGUUCAAGGGCUC